GAGAUGACUGUAAAUCAACACAAUUGUCUGUUGUUCUCCCUGCUUCCUUCUAUUAAAAUAAAUGUUUAGUGUAUUUUCUUAUUCUCUGACAUUCAGUUCUUCACUUGUCAGCACCUGCUGGCAGCAGCUGGAGUAAUCUUACCAAUUUUGCCGUAUGUGCAAAUCAAUUUCAUUUCCCCCCCACCAAAGAUAGAAAUCAGUAAAGUGAUUAAGUU
RNAcentral lists this long non-coding RNA (215 nucleotides) under Pan troglodytes (chimpanzee). Its description in RNAcentral is "long non-coding RNA NONPTRT015814". Lineage: Eukaryota; Metazoa; Chordata; Mammalia; Primates; Hominidae. The record is from RNAcentral.